Molecule: long non-coding RNA, 580 nt
Filed under: Elaeis guineensis (African oil palm)
Lineage: Eukaryota; Viridiplantae; Streptophyta; Magnoliopsida; Arecales; Arecaceae
Description: long non-coding RNA (EGUI_LNC039981)
Source: RNAcentral
GAACCAUCUUUAAGUAUUUAUGAAAUACUAAGGACCAAUGGCUCGUUUAUGGAGAAUCUGACCUAAAACCUGUAGAAUAUUGAUUUUAGUUUCUAGUCGAAUUGAAAUGACAAAGUUGUGUCAGAUUGUGUUUUUAUCCUAAAAAGAUGAGCGACAUGCUGAAAAGGUUCCAUGCAAUAUUUAGUUGCCAAUUUUAUUUAUGAUAUGAAAUUUUUUGUGGUAUUUGAUGCUGUUAAAAAAAAUUAUUUGGUUAUGGAAGUUCAUUAGCAAGCUUGGAGAGGCACCCUCCAUUGAUAGUCCAGUACUUCUAUAUUGACAGCACUACUGUAACCAUAGUUCAAGCAAAAAAUUGAUGUUCUAUCUAAAGAAUCAAACACUUUCUGCAUUGCAAUCACCUUAUUUGAUAGGAUCGAAAUAAAGUUGACCUUAGGAAGAUCGAUCGAAAGGAGAACUUGAUCGACCCAUUGACUAGAGCAAUCAGAUCUAAAGAGUUCAAUGAUAUAAAAUGGAAUAUGGGUAUUUGAUACCGAUCUGAUUGGCUUGAGUCCAAGUGAGAGUUGUUGGACAAUAUACCAUAAAA